This is a long non-coding RNA of Orcinus orca (killer whale), 3450 nucleotides long. RefSeq lists it as uncharacterized. The record is from RefSeq and is a predicted model, not a curated record. Lineage: Eukaryota; Metazoa; Chordata; Mammalia; Artiodactyla; Delphinidae. The transcript is spliced from 2 exons.
AAAUGGUGAAAGCAAAGCUAUACAGACAAAAUCACAGACAGAAGCAUACACAUGCACACUCACAAAAAGAGGAAAAGGGAAAAAAAUAUAUAUCGUUGCUCCCAAAAUCCACCUCCUCAAUUUGGGAUGAUCCGUUGUCUAUUCAUAUAUUCCACAGAUGCAGGUACAUCAAGUUGAUUGUGGAGCUUUAAUCCGCUGCUUCUGAGGCUGCUGGGAGAAAUUUCCCUUUCUCUUCUUUGCACAGCUCCCAGGGUUUAGUUUUGAAUGUGGCCCUGCCUCUGCGUGUAGGUCGCCGGAGGGCGUCUGUUCUUCGCUCAAACAGGACGGGGUUAAAGGAGCCGCUGAUUUGGGGGCUCCGGCUCACUCAGGCCGGGGGGAGGGAGGGGUGCAGAUGCGGGGCUGGCCUGCGGCGGCAGAGGCCGGCGUGACGUUGCACCAGCCUGAGGCGCGCCGUGCAUUCUCCUGGGGAAGUUGUCCCUGGAUCCCAGGACCCUGGCAGCGGCGGGCUGCACAGGCUCCCCGGAAGGGGGGUGUGGAUAGUGACCUGUUCUCACACACAGGCUUCUUGGUGGCGGCAGCAGCAGCCUUAGCGUCUCAUGCUUGUCUCUGGGGUCUGCGCGCCUGUCUCUGGAGCUCCUUUAAGCAGCACUCUUAAUCUCCUCUCCUCGCGCACCAGGAAACAAAGAGGGAAGAAAAAGUCACUUGCCUCUUCGGCAGGUCCAGACAUUUUCCCGGACUCCCUCCCGGCUAGCCGUGGCGCACUAACCCCUUCAGGCUGUGUUCACGCCGCCAACCCCAGUCCUCUCCCUGCUCUCAGACCUAAGCCCUAGCCUCAGCUCCCAGCCCCGCCUGCCCCGGCGGGUGAGCAGACAAGCCUCUCGGGCUGGUGAGUGCCGGUCGGCGCAGAUCCUCUGGGCGGGAAUCUCUACGCUUUGCCCUCUGCACCCCUGUUGCUGCGCUCUCCUCCACGGCUCCGAAGCUUCCCCGCUCCGCCACCCGCAGUCUCCACCCGCGAAGGGGCUUCUAGUGUGUGGAAACCUUUCCUCCUUCACGGCUCCCUCCCACUGGUGCAGGGCCCGUCCCUAUUCUUUUGUCUCUGUUUAUUCUUUUUCCUUUUGCCCUAACCAGGUACGUGGGAAGUUUCUUGCCUUUUGGGAGGUCUUCUGCCAGCGUUCUGUAGGUGUUCUGUAGGAGUUGUUCCACGUGUAGAUGUAUUUCUGGUGUAUCUGUGGGGAGGAAGGUGAUCUCCGUGUCUUACUCCUCUGCCGUCUUGAAGGUCUCUCCCUUCUGUUUAGUUUUAAUUCAAAGUGCAGAAUAAGUAUCCAAGAGUCCAUACAGAUAUCAAUAAAUGAUUGAAGGAAUAAAGCAUGUGGAGGAGAAGAGACCAAUCUCCCCCAGAGAAGAAUCCCACAUAAUUCCAUGUUCCCCAUUCUUCCAUUUCAAGGUUAAGGAGUGUCGACCCUGCCCUUUGAGGGUGGCCUGCACUCAGAAACUUAGGAGAACUUCUGGGUGUCCUUAAAUUUGUCAACAAGUUUUUAGACAUAAGACCAAAAGCACAAUCCAUGGGAAAGAAUUGAUACAUUAGAAAGCAUCACAAUGAAAAACAUUUGUUCUCUGAAAGCCCCUGUUAAGGGAAUCUAAUGGCAAGCCACAGACUGGAAAAAUAUAUUUUCAAAUAACAUAUUUGGUAAGAACUUGUGCUGUGAAUGCAUACACUCAUAAAUGAACCAAAGAAAGUAAGCAAGCCAAUUAAAAGUGGACCGAAUUUCUGAACUCACCAAGAAAGAUGGACAGAUGGCAAAUAAGCACUUGGAAAGGUGCGCCAUGUCACAUGUCAUCAGGGACCGCAAGCUGCAACAACUGUGAGGUACCACUGCAUGCUGAGAGGCUGGAACACAGAACAUGGACGCACCAGGCUCUGGUGAGGACCUGGGCCACAGGAGCGCUCGCUCAUGGCUGGGGGUGUAAUGUGGCUAAAGCACCUGCAACACGUGUUAGCGCUUCUCCAUGGAGAUAAACCUGGACUGCCCAUGGGGUGGAGCAGUUUGCUCUCAGCUAGGUCCCCAAGUCACUUAAAGACUCAGGUCCACACAACAGCCUCCUGGGAAGGCUCAUACCUGCGUUAUUCACUCAAGCUUCUCUGUAGUCCCUAAAUUUUGCUUACAGGGUGUUUAUUGUAUGGAACAUCCCUCCUAUACCAGUAAACACAUGUUUCUAACCCCGUUUUCUCUGGAAGGCUUUAAUCCAAUCAUCCCUGUGUUUCCUCAGUCCCAGCACAGCUGCCCUGUCCCUCAGGCUUCUGAAACACUCAGGAUACAGGUUAUCACAUUGUAUGUUUGCAUAGUAAGACAUGGCUGUGUCCUCAGAUCUCAGACUGCUCAGCUCCAUGUCGGCUGUACUGGUGGAAGUGUCCACAGUCAAGGCUUCUCUGCCCUUCAACUAUAGUGCAUAGCCUGUGUCACCAUCAUUAGGGGAGAUUUGUCCAUCCACUCAAGCCCUUGUUGAGGGGCAUGUGGCACCCAGAUCAUAGCGUAGCUGGUGAAGGCAUAUCCAGAAACCUUGCAGGAGACCUUCCCUGAUACCCCAGGUCCUCAGCUCAGCCCCAGACUGCACCAGCUGGACCUGGGAGUGGACAGCUGUGGACAAGAGACAGAAGUAGGUGGAACGUCCCUUCACUGAUCCUAGAUCCCUCCUCAACCCAGAGACCAGGGAGCCCCUUACCUGUAGCCACUGUGACCAGGAAGAGGACUCUCCAGCCCCAGUCCAUGGUGAGGGCUGUGCUCUUGGGGUUCUUGUGGAGGAAGGGGUGUGGUUGUUAGAUGAUGUUCUCAGGGCUCGGAACAUCCAUAUUUAACCUAGGACACACCAGCUCAUUUGCAUAUUCAUGAAGCUGAAAAUUUCGUAUUUAAUACAUGGACCAUCUUACAAGAAGCAGACUGAUGACCCCUAAACCAUGCUUAGUGGGAGGCUGAGAGUCCACAUCCUCACCCUCGUUUGAGGACAUGCAUCCCCUGCCAUGUUCCUAAACACUGUACAGGCAGAGCUCCUCCCACUGAGGGACCCGCCCACUUAGGACAAGGUCCUCAUUGUGAACCAGCCUUUGAAUGGCACAGACGCCUGAACCUGUUCUGGGCUUUCAUGUCUGAAUAUCCUAUUUCUGGAAUCAGUGUGUCCCCAAAAUCUGCAACCACUGGGUAAACAGGCAAACAAACAUACACACACAUACAUACAUACAUAUUUUGAAGCCCUGCUUCUCAUUGUCUUAUUGAGUUAGGUAAGUGUUUUCAAUAGGAUCCAAUAUUAAACACUUCAGCAGUCCUUGUCCUACUAAUUAUUGUUUUCUUCCCCCAGUUUCAAAGGAAUUUAAUAUUAUUUACAUAGCUAAGGAACAGAUGAUACAUUUCCAUUUAUUAGAAACUGACCUGUAUAAUAAAAUAGAUUUUAAAUUCA